AGUGAUUGUAUUCUGAAAAAAAAAAAAAAAAGAGUUAAAUCUCUAAACCAAUGAAUCUCAUAAUAAAAUAAUAAACUGAGUUUCUGACCAAUUGAACUAGCCCGCAUCAUCAUGUGUCGAUUGGACAGUAAGGCCCCGUCUCUGAUAUGGCCGAGAUCUUUGUCGUGCUGACACCGGAAAAGGUAGCAACGGCUAUGGGCAUUUAGCACCUGUCUCAGCCUGUCUGUCUCCACCUUCAAUGUUUCCUCUUGGGUUUUGACAACCCAACUACAAAAAAUUUCUCUGGGGCUUUCGCAUAUAGAAGGAUCUUGCUCAUCAUCCUGUGUCUUUGAGUAUAUUCAUGCCUGCAUGACAGGCAGAAGAUGACUAUCUUACAAUACCUGAUUCUCUCGUAGAGAAAAAGAUGGCCUUCUGGGAUUGAGAGGACUGAAGUCAGGGGACCUGGCUAUGGAACUGAGGUUGUAUUCUGCAAAUUCACUUCUUCACAAGUUGACAUGCCUGUUAUUCGAUCUGAGCAAGGUGCAGGAAUGAUCAAUUGCAAUAUACUGCAGGAGAACUGCAGACGGGAUGCACGAUGAAAUUUAUUGGUCCAAACUUCUACUGAAUUUUGAAGGGUAGUUCAAUAAGAAGGCUUUGGUAAUCUUCUGGUGACCAGUUUAGGUCAUAAGAGUUUUUCCCAAUGGUUAUUGAGUUCCUUCUCUGAGAAGUGGAUGUUGAUGACGUAUUGGAAUAUGUUUCUUGCUGCUAGCAGAAGAGGCAACAAGCAAGUCAAUCUCUCUAUACUUCGAGGCUUGCUAGUAGAGCGUUGGUGGAUAAGUGAGACUCGUAACGUUCAACCUUUUCCAUGCAAGUGGUGUCAACAGACUUGAACCGGAAAAGAAAUAAGAAGACAAAGGAAAAAAAGAAGAAGGCAUAUCAUGAUCUGGAUAAUGCUUUAAUAAAUCACCAGAAAUAAGUUGUAAAGAUGACCAGAUCUAGUUUCCCUUAUUUCUUCUGCUGAAAGCAUUUUUAAGAAUUUGAAAGAGAGACUUUUAAUUGAUGGUGAAUUGCUUAUUCUCGGUAA
Long non-coding RNA from Populus nigra (black poplar), 1063 nucleotides. RefSeq lists it as uncharacterized. Lineage: Eukaryota; Viridiplantae; Streptophyta; Magnoliopsida; Malpighiales; Salicaceae. The record is from RefSeq and is a predicted model, not a curated record. The transcript is spliced from 3 exons.